This 118-nucleotide ribosomal RNA is filed under the name Ananas comosus (pineapple). The record is from RNAcentral. Lineage: Eukaryota; Viridiplantae; Streptophyta; Magnoliopsida; Poales; Bromeliaceae.
GGAUGUGAUCAUACUAGGCAGCACUAAAGCACCGAAUCCCAUUAGAACUCCGCAGUUAAGCGUGUUGGGGCGAGAGUAGUUCUAGAAUGGAUGACCUCCCUAUAAAGCGUCACAUUAU